Paramuricea clavata is the source of this 1350-nucleotide non-coding RNA. NCBI's taxonomy places the organism in Eukaryota, Metazoa, Cnidaria, Anthozoa, Malacalcyonacea, Plexauridae. The record is from the annotation of a GenBank genome assembly.
UUCCAGCGGAUACCAUGCAAGAUUUGGUAUUCAUAUCAAUUGCUAAUCGUAUUUGUCAGGUACUGACACCCUGACAAAAUCAAAUUGGUUUGUGCUGCAACUUAGGCAAGCCUGAACAUGUCUUCAUCACACUUGUCAUCAUACUUUUAUUUUAUUUAUUCUUUUUCCCGACAAGUCCUAACAACCCUGGCAAUUAGUGAUCACCUGACAUCCCUGACAAUGCUGACACUCCUGACACUCCUGACAUCACUGACAUCACUGACACUCCUGACAUCCCUGACACUCCUGACAUCCCUGACACUCCUGACAUCCCUGACAACCCUGACAGUCCUGACAACCCUGACAUCCCUGACAUCCCUGACAUCCCUGACACUCCUGACAUCACUGACAUCACUGACAACCCUGACAGUCCUGACAACCCUGACAGUCCUGACAACCCUGACAGUCCUGACAUCCCUGACACGCCUGACAACCCUGACACUCCUGACAUCCCUGACACUCCUGACAUCCCUGACAACCCUGACAUCCCUGACACUCCUGACAUCACUGACAUCACUGACAUCACUGACAACCCUGACAACCCUGACAGUCCUGACAACCCUGACACGCCUGACACUCCUGACAACCCUGACACUCCUGACAUCCCUGACACUCCUGACAACCCUGACAGUCCUGACAACCCUGACAUCCCUGACACUCCUGACAUCACUGACAACCCUGACAGUCCUGACAGUCCUGACACUCCUGACAACCCUGACACUCCUGACAACCCUGACAUCCCUGACAACCCUGACAUCCCUGACAACCCUGACAUCCCUGACACUCCUGACAUCACUGACAUCACUGACAACCCUGACAGUCCUGACAACCCUGACAGUCCUGACAACCCUGACAGUCCUGACAUCCCUGACACGCCUGACAACCCUGACACUCCUGACAUCCCUGACACUCCUGACAUCCCUGACAACCCUGACAACCCUGACACUCCUGACAUCCCUGACACUCCUGACAUCCCUGACACUCCUGACAUCCCUGACAACCCUGACAGCCCUGACAACCCUGACAUCCCUGACACUCCUGACAUCACUGACAUCACUGACAACCCUGACAGUCCUGACAACCCUGACAGUCCUGACACGCCUGACACUCCUGACAACCCUGACAACCCUGACAUCCCUGACACUCCUGACAUCACUGACAUCCCUGACAACCCUGACACUCCUGACAUCCCUGACACUCCUGACAUCACUGACAUCACUGACAACCCUGACAGUCCUGACAACCCUGACAGUCCUGACAUCCCUGACAACCCUGACAUCCCUGACACUCCUGACAUCACUGACAUCACUG